Non-coding RNA from Parelaphostrongylus tenuis, 75 nucleotides. Lineage: Eukaryota; Metazoa; Nematoda; Chromadorea; Rhabditida; Metastrongylidae. The record is from the annotation of a GenBank genome assembly.
GUGUCGGUAGUGCAGCGGUUUAGCACGCGCUUCUCCGGAUAGGGUGAAAUGCGGGUUCGAAUCCCACCUGACGCA